AGCGGAGGGAUCAUUACCGAGUUUACAACUCCCAAACCAUUGUGAAUCUUACCUUUUCGUUGCUUCGGCGGGAUCGCCCCGGGCGCCAUCGCGUGCCCCGGAACCAGGCGCCCGCCGGGGGACCUAAACUCUGUCGUUUUGUGGUAUUUCUGAGUGGAUUAUCAAAUAAUCAAAACUUUCAACAACGGAUCUCUUGGUUCUGGCAUCGAUGAAGAACGCAGCGAAAUGCGAAAAGUAAUGUGAAUUGCAGAAUUCAGUGAAUCAUCGAAUCUUUGAACGCACAUUGCGCCCGCCAGUAUUCUGGCGGGCAUGCCUGUCUGAGCGUCAUUUCAACCCUCUCACCUCCGGGUGUGGUGUUGGGGAUCGGCCAGCAGCCCCUAGCGGGCGGCGGCCGUCCCCUAAAUCUAGUGGCGGACCCGUCGUGGCCUCCCCUGCGUAGUAGUGAUACCCCGCACCGGACAGCGACGAGCCCCUGCCGUAAAACCCCCCAACUUCCAAAGGUUGACCUCAGAUCAGGUAGGAAUACCCGCUGAACUUAAGCAUAUCAU
This 548-nucleotide ribosomal RNA is filed under the name Sesquicillium phyllophilum. RNAcentral's name for it is "eukaryotic LSU rRNA". The stretch from base 174 to 327 matches the Rfam family "5.8S ribosomal RNA". Lineage: Eukaryota; Fungi; Ascomycota; Sordariomycetes; Hypocreales; Bionectriaceae. The record is from RNAcentral.